UACGUAGGGGGCAAGCGUUGUCCGGAAUCAUUGGGCGUAAAGAGCGUGUAGGCGGCCAGAUAAGUCCGCUGUGAAAUCUCGAGGCUCAACUUCGAGCUGUCGGUGGAAACUGUCUGGCUAGAGUCCGGAAGAGGAGAAUGGAAUUCCAGGUGUAGCGGUGAAAUGCGUAGAUAUCUGGAGGAAUACCGGUGGCGAAGGCGGCAUCCUGGACCGGCAUUGACGCUGAUGAGCGAAAGCUAGGGGAGCAAACGGG
This 253-nucleotide ribosomal RNA is filed under the name uncultured bacterium. RNAcentral's name for it is "partial 16S ribosomal RNA". It matches the Rfam family "Bacterial small subunit ribosomal RNA", at positions 524 to 776 of the family's 1533-position model. The record is from RNAcentral.